Molecule: long non-coding RNA, 4437 nt
Filed under: Podarcis lilfordi (Lilford's wall lizard)
Lineage: Eukaryota; Metazoa; Chordata; Lepidosauria; Squamata; Lacertidae
Source: RNAcentral
UUUGACACACACAAGAGAACUGAAGGUCUAAGAGUGCCGGUAUUGUCAGUAUAAAAGCAUUCCUGAUAGGUCUGGGCAUACAACUCUAAGUGCAACUCUAAGGAGCUCAAGCUGGGAUUUUCUGCUUUUGCCAUGACCCUGCUGCCCUUUGCUUCUGGCUGAAUUUAAAAGCAAACCUACCAGAUUUGCACUUUAUGAAACAAUAUGCAAACUAAAAAAAACACCGACCAUCGUUCGCAAUUCACACCUCAGAAUUUUGCAGUGCAGUUCUAUGUUCAAGUAACCUGUACAAAAAUACAUAUACUAGGGUAAAGUGUGCAUAAAAAUGCAUAUAUCAGUGAUAAAACAUACAAAGGUGUCUUAUAUUACGGGAAAUUGUUUUGCAAACCAUGUUUAUUAGGCAAAAUUUCCUAGAAAAAUGUCUGUAUUGGGAGAAAUUUGCACUAAGUUGGUGAUGAAUUUCCAUGAGCACUUAAAGCAAUCUGAUGUAUCCUAUCGCCCAAGGAUGCCCUUUCAGGGGCCACGGGAUUGCAAUCUAAACGGUUUGUGUUUUGUUUUCUGGUUUAUGUAGCCCUGACGAAAAUAACCUAUGUAUUUUAUUUUAUACACCAUGAGCUUUGGAAUGAUUCCUUCUUGUUGAAAAUUGUUUAAACAACAUCAACAUCUCUGGCAACACUUGCUGCAGAUGUAUGUAGUGACAACAGCUGAAGAUCUGAGAAAACCACAUUGUAUAUUCUAAAGCAGGGGUCAGCAAACUUUUUCAGCAGGGGGCCAUUCCACUGUCCCUCAGACCUUGUGGGGGGCCAGACUAUAUUUUUUUUUGGGGGGGGGGGAAUGAACGAAUUCCUAUGCCCCACAAAUAACCCAGAGACGCAUUUUAAAUAAAAGCACACAUUCUACUCAUGAAAAAACACUCUGAUUCCUGUACCAUCCACAGGCCGGAUUUAGAAGGCGAUUGGGCCGGAUCUGCCCCCCGGACCUUAGUUUGCCUACCCAUGUUCUGAUCAAUACAAACCAAAACACUACACUUGCAGAGGUUUCCUGUUUUGCUCAUCUGAAGGCAAAAGCUCCUUCAACUGCAUGUCUGAGCUCAUGAUGGAGGAUGGUGAAGCUAUCGCCUUGGUCCAACAAGUGAAACACAUGUGUUUACCAGAACUAGAAAGACCUGAGCCAGGAGGCAGAAGCCCCACUAAAAUCACCUUCAAAACCACAUGUGGAUGCACGAGUGGACUGAAUCCAGUUCUUUGCCUGAACUGAUUAUUGAUGCUCUUCAAAACCGUUUGAUAAGGCCUCAUGUUUGCACUCUCAUUUUCACCUUUUAGACCCUUGUUCCCACGCCCUGAGAGACACAUCCGCAGCACCUGUUUGCGCAUGAUCUUCCCUCUGCUGUACGGGAGCCACAGUUCAUUGCUUAUUUACAUACACCCCACAGAGAUGCUUUCAUCAAACCCAAAACACACACACACAACCAUGCCUGCUGUUGUGUAUCUCCACUUCCACAUGCAAAAUGGGUGCUAUCAGAAACAGGUCUUAAAUUCCAAGUCCCUGAGUGGGUCAGCUGCAGUCAAAUGCUGGGUUUACAUCCAGACGCAGCGGAUGUUGCACAGUUCCCCUUUGCUUCUCUUGCCCAAGAUGCUCUUGGCAGAAAGAUGGGCCUCAGGUGGGCAACCGGGAUGAGCACUGAUUAGCUGGAAGAGGUAAAGAGAUUUAUACAUCCAAUAUAACGAAACCUGUAUGAUCCUGUAUAACUUGCCCGUUGCUAAUCUCCUUCCAACUGUGCUUUGGCACGGAACACCAAGCCUACUCCAGCCCAGUAUGCAGCUCUGUAUAUUUCUCUGGUAAUUAACCUUGACAAUUUGAAGUGUACAGCUUCAGCCUGGGUAUCAUGCUUGUUCCUACCCUCUGCUGCUAAAAUAAAAUUAUAUCUUUGCUCAUCCAUUCAUUUUACAUGUAGAAAGACAGAUGGUUGCUCUGGAUUGUUCUGUGCUGCAACAGAUGCCGUAAUUGAGGGCUGGGAAACUCUGCCAAAUUAAUUAGAUACCCUUACCAAUUUGGAUGGAAAGGACAGUGCAUUACCAUUCCGCGCUGUAGAGCUUCUGACACAUUGGGGUUAUCUUUGUUGAAUUUGCAGGUUUCCUUGGGAACUCUUCCCAUUGUUCAAGCUGGGACUAGAACUGCUUGCAUCACUGAGGGAUUUGCCAGGUGCAGAACGGUGAAGACGCAAGAGCAGCAAAACGAAGGAGAAGGGAGAAUUGGGGGACAAAAGCAGAAAUGUAUCCAAGUGUUUAUAGAAAAGUCAGUAUAUCCUCACUUCCAUUCACCCAUUAAAAAAUCAGGUAAGGAAAUGGACCAUUGUUAUUCUAAUGAGCAAAAUGCCCUUCUCAGUAAGAUGGACAGGGAGGAUGUGAGGAACUGGGUAUUACAUGGACCCCUAAGUGUGCACACAUGUACAGAGGGUUUCUCUGCAAUCCUUAAAAAGGAAGCAACACCCAAAGGUGGCUUCAAUUCAGAUCCUGUUCAGUGCACGGUGCUAUGCAAAAAAAUAAAUAAACUCAGUCAAAGUGGCCUAAUAAGCAAGACCGUCAUAGAAGAGAGAGAAAGCUGACUUAGAAUGGAGCAUCAACUUUUAUUUUACCCUCAAACCAAGGGGAGAAGAGGAAACAAUAAAGAAAAAAAAUGGUCUUCUUGAAUAAAAAGAGUCCUGUUGGAUCAGAUCAAUGGCCCAACUAGUCCAGCAUCCUCUUCUUGCAGUGGCCAAGCAAACUGCCUCCAACAAUGGAAGGACAACAUAGUCGUUUUGGUUUGUAGCCAUAUGCUAGCUCACCCUGCCAUCUCUGAGAAACGUAUUACUGAAAUAAUUUUAUCAAAGAAAACCAGUUAUUUAUUAAAAUAUUUAUAUGCUGCUGCAUCAUAAAAAAUAAUAAUAAUCACAGGGGUUUACAAUAUAAAACAAAAACCAGACAGUAAAGCCAUAAAAGUUAAAAACAAGUUAAAAGCAAUAAUAAAUAAAUAAAUAAAUACAUCUAUAGACAAUUGUGGGGAUGUACUCUUAAUGGCCUGCCUAGGGCUAGCAGAAUAGAAAAGUUAUCAGCAGGUGUUUAAAAGGUGGCACAGAAGGAGCCAAUGAGUAUCUAUUGGCAGAGUCUUCCACAGCUGAUAACAUGAAAAGCUUGGUUUAUCACUGUUGUUGGUUGACAACACCAAUUCAGGGAACCAUCAGAAAAAGUGCCGAUAAUUCAUGAAACGAAACAACUUUUUUCAAACAAAGACGCAAUUCAUGUGAGAUUGAGAAAGCAUUACAACUUGAACCUGGCUUUAAGCAUUGCUGAGUUCAAGCUGCAUCGAUUCAGAAUAUGACUAGGCCAAGCUGAUUCCAUUCCACUUUCUAAGAAACAAAUACCCCUCUCUUAUUAUCACUUAUUACUCUCGUACGGGACUGCUUUGACACACAGGAGCUGGCAGAAGGGAAAUGACACAGCAGUUUGAAGGAUAGCUAUUGCACUAAUGGCAAGACUGGAGGGUUCUCAGCACUGGCAUACUUGAACAAGAACUAGUAUUAAGGGACAAACUUCACCUAUUUCAGGAUAUGUGUGAUUCUUCUUAAAGGCAGCCAUGUGGUGAAGGGCCAUUUGGAUCAGGGCAGGCAAUUUUCCAGGGCAAAACUUCUCCCUCCCAGUGCUGCUGUGAGCUGCAUUCUUUCAUAGUACAUGCUAUGGCUCUGAUCUCAAACACCAUGCUUCAAAAAGGUGCGUUUGCUUUUAGGGAAAGGAGGAGACAUCGGGAGAUCCAGGCAUGGAGCUUAGUAGUUUGAGCCAAAGACAGUUGUACACAGGAUCAUAAUGACAUGAAGUAGGAUACCUAGAAUUUUAAGGGAAGGAUCCAGGUUUGAUGCCCUAUGACAAACAUUGGAGAGCUACUGCUAGCCACUGUAAGGAACAGUGGGCCAACUCUGGAUGGAGAAGUUUCCUAUGCUUAGGCCGUGGCGGGUCUACUUAUUACCAGUGCCACUUAACUCAAAACAAUACGUGGCAAUGUUAUGUGUGAAGACUUCCAGAUGGGUCCCACCAGUUGUUUUGACUGCUUUCAUACCUCUAGCAGCUACUACUAGGAGUGCCUGGUGGAGAAUGUCUACAUGAAGUGGGUCCAAUUUGCUGCAUAUAAAACCUUCAUGGGAACCAGUCACCAUACAGAGGUUGUUUCAAGUGGUGCUCAAGAGUCAGAGAACGGUGGCUGAUGAUGUUUAUAGGCACAAUAUGUGCUUCCGCCAAAGCUUUCUGUUUUCCACAGACUAAUGACUUAUUGGUCCAAAAUGCCUUUAACUAUUAGCAUCAGAUGCAUGCUUCUACAACAGAGUAUAGUGUCAUUUUAAUAAAUCUCCUCACAUAAGAAAGUACAUUUUAGGCAAGUUUGGGUCAUUUUGUCUCAAGUUCUUUGCAG